Molecule: non-coding RNA, 1118 nt
Organism: Schizosaccharomyces pombe (fission yeast)
Lineage: Eukaryota; Fungi; Ascomycota; Schizosaccharomycetes; Schizosaccharomycetales; Schizosaccharomycetaceae
Source: the annotation of a GenBank genome assembly
AGCCAGUAUUUUCUGUAGUAUGAUUUAAAAGCGUAGACUAUCUCUUGGCCACAAGGAUGGUAAAUUUCUGUAGAAUUUACAGGAAGGAAAACAACAGUCGUGUUUACCAACUUUCGCUCGGAAUUGCGAAUAUUUUCCAAAGCGCAUUCAUGAGCGACAAACUUAUCCAGUAUAAGUAGAACUUUCCUACCCUUCAUCAAAUCGUCAAACCAACGAAGCCAUUCUUCCAUAAUGGAAGUGGUCAUCCUAGCGGUUCCAUUAUAUCGCCAAUGAAAAUCCAUGGAAUCAGGAUGAGCAUUUGCUUGCCGAAAGGCCCUUGGACUUUUAGCAUAUCCAAUCACCCAAAGAGGGGCCUUUUCAGAACCUGUAGCAUUACAACAAAUAGUGACGGUGACACGAGCCUUAUCUCUCGUAAUUCCUUUUACUCGUUCACUCGCAGGAGAUUGAUUGGGAAUAAGUUUCCAGCAUAGCCCCGUCUCAUCCAUAUUAAAGAUGUCUUUUGGAUCAAAAAGACUUAUUAAUUCCUGUAUUUGAACCAUGUUUUCCUCAUACGUUCCUUGAUUUACUGAAGUAGAUUCACCCUGUAACUUAAGGCCGUGUUUUAAACAACGCUUUUUGAACUUCUCUAACCAACCGUUACUAAAUUCUGGAAUCGGAAGCUCAGAGUACUCCGGUAUACGUCUCCACAAUUCUGCGGCGCUUUUUUUGAUGGCGUUUCCAGUAAUUGCUCCGUCUUGUUUUUGCAACCUCGUUUGCCAGUCAAUAAGGGCGUUUUCUAAGAUAGGAUAUUUUCCUUGGCGGUUUCUUCUUAUUUGAGAGUUUUCUGCGUCUAGAUUAUCUAAAAAUUCGUUCUUUGAUGAUAGAAUUGACGAAACGGUAGAUUGUGCUAGCUUUUUAUGAAAGUGCUCCUCGAACCAACUAAUAAGCUCUUGUUGCGAAGGUUUAGUUGCUGACUCAAAAUAAUGUUUUCUAAUUGCUUUUUUUUCAGCUAAAGUCAACGCUUGACGCCUCAAUGGAGGCAUUCUCUCAAGUUUACGAAAAAAUCGUUGUAAGGGAGGUAAUCGCGGCUGUCGUGGAUGAUAUGGAUGAUAUCCCGAUAUGUUUGUGAUAUUUGAUAU